Molecule: ribosomal RNA, 460 nt
Filed under: uncultured bacterium
Lineage: Bacteria
Description: partial 16S ribosomal RNA
Rfam family: Bacterial small subunit ribosomal RNA
Source: RNAcentral
CCUACGGGAGGCAGCAGUGAGGAAUAUUGGUCAAUGGACGCAAGUCUGAACCAGCCAUGCCGCGUGCAGGAAGACGGCUCUAUGAGUUGUAAACUGCUUUUGUACGAGGGUAAACGCAGAUACGUGUAUCUGUCUGAAAGUAUCGUACGAAUAAGGAUCGGCUAACUCCGUGCCAGCAGCCGCGGUAAUACGGAGGAUUCAAGCGUUAUCCGGAUUUAUUGGGUUUAAAGGGUGCGUAGGCGGUCGGAUAAGUUAGAGGUGAAAUCCCGAGGCUCAACUUCGGAAUUGCCUAUGAUACUGUUAGGCUAGAGAGUAGUUGCGGUAGGCGGAAUGUAUGGUGUAGCGGUGAAAUGCUUAGAGAUCAUACAGAACACCGAUUGCGAAGGCAGCUUACCAAGCUACGUCUGACGUUGAGGCACGAAAGCGUGGGGAGCAAACAGGAUUAGAUACCCGAGUAGUC